GGUAAUGCCGGAUGUUCCAGUUGAUCGCAUGGUCUUCUGGGAAAGCUUUCGCGGUAUGGGAUGGGGUCGCGUCCUAUCAGCUUGACGGCGGGGUAACGGCCCACCGUGGCUUCGACGGGUAGCCGGCCUGAGAGGGCGACCGGCCACAUUGGGACUGAGAUACGGCCCAGACUCCUACGGGAGGCAGCAGUGGGGAAUAUUGCACAAUGGGCGCAAGCCUGAUGCAGCGACGCCGCGUGAGGGAUGGAGGCCUUCGGGUUGUAAACCUCUUUUAUCGGGGAGCAAGCGUGAGUGAGUUUACCCGUUGAAUAAGCACCGGCUAACUACGUGCCAGCAGCCGCGGUAAUACGUAGGGUGCAAGCGUUAUCCGGAAUUAUUGGGCGUAAAGGGCUCGUAGGCGGUUCGUCGCGUCCGGUGUGAAAGUCCAUCGCUUAACGGUGGAUCCGCGCCGGGUACGGGCGGGCUUGAGUGCGGUAGGGGAGACUGGAAUUCCCGGUGUAACGGUGGAAUGUGUAGAUAUCGG
RNAcentral lists this ribosomal RNA (523 nucleotides) under Bifidobacterium longum subsp. suillum. RNAcentral describes it as "bacterial SSU rRNA". It matches the Rfam family "Bacterial small subunit ribosomal RNA", at positions 162 to 700 of the family's 1533-position model. Lineage: Bacteria; Bacillati; Actinomycetota; Actinomycetes; Bifidobacteriales; Bifidobacteriaceae. The record is from RNAcentral.